UCUGACCUACGGGGCGCAGCAGUGAGGAAUAUUGGUCAAUGGGCGGGAGCCUGAACCAGCCAAGCCGCGUGAAGGAAGAAGGCGCCAGGCGUCGUAAACUUCUUUUGUCGGGGAACAAAGGGCGCCACGCGUGGCGUUGUGAGUGUACCCGAAGAAAAAGCAUCGGCUAACUCCGUGCCAGCAGCCGCGGUAAUACGGAGGAUGCGAGCGUUAUCCGGAUUUAUUGUGUUUAAAGGGUGCGUAGGCGGUCUGGAACGUCAGCUGUAAAAGCCCUGGGCUCAACCCCGGCGCGC
Molecule: ribosomal RNA, 293 nt
Filed under: uncultured bacterium
Lineage: Bacteria
Description: partial 16S ribosomal RNA
Rfam family: Bacterial small subunit ribosomal RNA
Source: RNAcentral